This is a non-coding RNA of Capsicum annuum, 130 nucleotides long. NCBI's taxonomy places the organism in Eukaryota, Viridiplantae, Streptophyta, Magnoliopsida, Solanales, Solanaceae. The record is from Rfam.
GUGUUCGUAUAAAGGAAAGUGGGUUGGCAUUUCCCCAAAAGGAAUGGGAACAACCUUAGGGCUUUACCCAUUAGCAUAACUAACCUCCAUCUAAAUGAGAAAUAUUUGCCUUUUCCAUCUAUGUUUUUCU